RNAcentral lists this long non-coding RNA (1746 nucleotides) under Bemisia tabaci. RNAcentral describes it as "lncRNA ENSSSA3NGG012994". The record is from RNAcentral. Lineage: Eukaryota; Metazoa; Arthropoda; Insecta; Hemiptera; Aleyrodidae.
GUGAAAUUGGGAGUGGCGUCGGAGCAACUUUGCACUCAUAGUUAAGUUUAGUACUGUUUGAUACAUGCAUUUCUUCUCUGUUUUUGUGGAGUUUAAGAUAAAAUGUUUCGACUAGUAAUUAUGGCAUUUGUUUCGACGGGCUGUCAUUCUGUGGAUGCGUUCGGUUUGGAAUGGUUACACUUUGAACCACGACGCACGGUAGUCAAGCCUUCGUACGAAGAUGCCAUUCAUACAAGCAUUGAACAUUUUCAAGGCCAACACGCUAUAAAUUUCUCCUCUCCACAAGGCAUCCAAGGAAAAAACUUGGAAACAAGGGAGUAUAUGAACACGGAUCUGCCUCUGAGUAUAAUCGACCAUGACUCCAGCCAGGUUUCCAUCAUUUUUGAAAGAAAAAGGACUUUAAUAAAAUUGAAAAAUCCAAAAAAAGGCUCAAAGGUGGUAAAUUCUCACAUUUUUCAGCGCUCUUUCCAGCCAAACUCACAAAAUAGGAAACCACUCAUUGUCAAGCCUGAAUUGAAACUUGAGAUACCACCUGAAACAUUCCAAAAAUUAAACGGACCAUCAUUCAAUGCAUCCAUACCACACCUCUUGAACCCCCAAACCCAGAAAUUACAACCUCGUAAAAUCGGUGUUUCUGUACUCAACUCGCGAUCAGAAGCCUAUGCCGAGAGUCUUGGAGGAUACUUGCCUGGAACUUUACGUAAUAGCUUCGCAGAAAAUUCAGAGACUAGCAUUUCAGGGAAUUCAAGAACGCUAUCCCAGAGCUCAGGAGACAGCUUCCUAGAGAGUAAGGUCAACCAUUUAGAUAAUCCAGGUGCUAACGUUUCAGAGAGUUUUGCAACUGUUGUGUUGGAGAGGUCAGUAACUAACGACUCAGAGACUCCACAAACUAACGUUGCGGUGGCAUCAGGUCCUCACCUUAGCAUUCGUGGAUUUGGAGAGAUGGUCAGCUCGGUCAGCCGACGAUUUCCAAGAGUUACCGAGUCGGCAGAGAGUCUCGGAAGAAACUAUUAACGAAAGCUGUCGGGUACACAGCCAGUUGGUCCUCGGUGGAACGAGUGCGGUACAUCCUGAAGGUCCCUUACGUGAUUCCGCUGCUGGAGAAGAUGGUGCCGCAGCCGACGACACCUGUACCAGACAACGUCCACGAUGACGCCGGUGGGUUGUUCCUCAGGCUCCUCAUGUCCCACGAGCACGGCCCCGCGGUGAUCAUGCUCAUGAAACUGAUAGCGAAGAACAUACGCUUGGAGAAGAAGAAAGGACGCGAGGAGCUGAAAGUCAAUAUCGUGUGCUUGAUACAGUCGGCGAGGAAGCUAAUGGCGACGGACCUCUUCAAGAAAUCGGACAUCGCCGAGCGCUUAGCCCGGAAGAGGUUCGACGAGGUGCGGAUCGAGUUCCCGGGUCCCGGCGAGGGUGCUACGGUUGUUCGAAUCCAGCGCAGACCGUCCAGUUUUCGGUCAAGGCUCAGAGAUCCGGAGAGACGCCUCGAAGAUCCGAAGAGGUGGCGGUGCCGGACAGCAUGGGAGGGCUCUUCUUGCAGAUGGCCAUAACCCAUAAGGACGCGCCGGAGUACUUGAACGCGGUCAAAGCGGUUCUCAGGAACGUGGAGGUUCGCCAGAAGGCAGAGAACGGGAAAUUGAGGCGACAUUACUAUGUGAACAUUCUGGAUUUUGCUCGGACUGGCUAGUUGUCGGGAUUCCCGGUUGCUGGUGAGUUGCUGGAAUUACAGUUCGAUCUCGCGGCGAU